ACUGGAGAAGAAAUACUCUUCUCUUUCUAUUUCCGGCACUUAACAGGCUGCUGCGAGAUAGCUGAUCAGACUGCACAGCUGUGGUGACAAACUGAUGAAUUAUGAACAAGGGCGAUGAUGCGGAACCGUAGAAAAAGUGAACUAGUCACUUUCCAAGAAGGAGUUCGAGCUAUUUCACUUUUAUUGUGGCACCGGAAUGGUGGUGUUAAAUAGAAAACUUAUUUUUUUUUUUUUUUUUUUUACAAAUGGCCGCUCGUUUUAAUCUUCACACUCUUGUCUUACAGGAAGCUGCAAGCCUCGUAGCAAUGCCCGAGCUCUGCCCUGGUUGGCAUGGUAACGACAGCCUCAGUCUGCAUUGGCCCAGCAGUACAGGGGACUGACUGAACAGUUCAGUUCAACCAAGCUGAACUGCAUUCAUUGGAUUGCACAGUCACAACUAUAAAAAUUGUAGCCAGCGACGAAAAUGAGUAAUUUAGUCUAAUAUACACACACACAAAGAAAACACAUAACUAGAGGUUGUUGUUGUAGCUUUCUUCAGGACACGGAAAUAUUUACGUUCAACCUACUUGCCUACUAGCAAGGCCAAAAUGUCUUGCAUAGUUACUCCAUUUUAAAUUGGGGAGGAAACCACUAACUAACACUGAUCGAGUUGAUCCUAACAAAUGGUAAUCAAGAUGAUCCCAACAGUUACUCGCACGAGUGAUUGUUGCAGAGAAGAGCAACAGCGUGAUCACUUACUAUUUCUGCCGCGAGGAUCAUGCCUUUUUGGGUCCUCACGUAACUUUUCAGCUUCUCCAUGCAGCUGGCAUCAGAGCCGGACGCUGACGUAUCGGCCAUUCUUAUGUCUUAUGUCGAAAUUUAAAUGAAAGCAGUCAGAAGAGAAAGCAAACGAAACGAAGCAACUGAAAGUUGUUGUCGUUGUUUUUCGCAGACGGCCCAAAGUGCACCGCUGCUCCCGGACGUAAGCUAGCUAACUUAAAAAAAAAAAAUAUAUAUAUAUAUAUAUAUGUACAUAUAAACAACAAGUGUGGGUGAAGUCGGUCAGGGGAAGCACAGUAGCUACGAAGAAGCCGUGCUCGCUGCUUGAAAGCUGAGAGGGCGGAGUGAGUCAAGAGAGAGAAGACUCGAGGAGCGGUCAGUGGGGCGUUGGCUAGCACUUUUCGCCAUUUCUCCCCAGGGGAACUGUGCUGCGUUCAAGAUCAACUGGGAACCCCGGAAGUCUCAAGUCCGAAACGCCACCCAAAGAAGGACAUUUCCGAUCCACGUUCCUCACUUUUCAAGAAACAAAGACUAAAUUAGGAUGUUACACUUAGAUAGGGUAUUUUCAUUUCUAUUUUACAUUUCGAAAUAGGUUAGGCACGCUGUCUUUGCCCUUUGCUGUUUUGUGAAGAAAUUACGAAUUUUACAGAACGAAACAGUACUCUCUGUUGCCUUCAGAUAUCCACGGACACAUCGCCUUCCUCAACAUUAAGCCAUUUCCGGUACAGUACUUUAUUCCCCCUUGGUUUUGAAGGCAGCGUGCUAUAAUUCAACGGCAUGCUUCUGUGGAAGUUAUGAUUCAUCGUAGUGGUGGGCAAAGUCUGGGUCGGGCGCCACGUACGGCCAGCUCUGAUUAUCAAGAAUCUUGUAUUAGUUGCAUGUUUUUUUUCCUUAUUAAUUGAAAUGUAUUCAUGCAUAUUUUAUUUAUCUUAUUAAAUAGUUGGUUGACUGAU
Phycodurus eques (leafy seadragon) is the source of this 1712-nucleotide long non-coding RNA. RefSeq lists it as uncharacterized. The record is from RefSeq and is a predicted model, not a curated record. The transcript has 2 exons. Lineage: Eukaryota; Metazoa; Chordata; Actinopteri; Syngnathiformes; Syngnathidae.